AUGAAGACACUGCCUGGACCUUUUGUCCUGUGCUUGUGGCUGCAGCUGAACUGUGUGAGCAGAGGAGAGCAGCUGGAGCAGCAGCCUUUUCUCCUGAGUGUCCAGGAGGGAGACAGCGCUGUCAUCAACUGCACCUACACAGACAGUUCCACUUCUUACUUCUUGUGGUACAAACAAGAGCCUGGAGUGGGUCUCCAGUUCCUUAUAAGUGUUCUUUCAAGUGUGGACAGAAAAGAAGAACAAGGAUUGAUUGUCCUACUGAAGAAGAAGGACAAACAUCUCUCCCUGAACAUCACAGCUGCCCAUCCUGAGGACUCAGCCACGUACUUCUGUGCAGCAAAAGGUGCUUUCAUCAAGGCUUAG
Non-coding RNA from Onychomys torridus (southern grasshopper mouse), 363 nucleotides. Lineage: Eukaryota; Metazoa; Chordata; Mammalia; Rodentia; Cricetidae. The record is from the annotation of a RefSeq genome assembly.